AUGCUUGUUUUUGUAGCAUAAAUACUAAAAUUGUAACACUACUGAGAAUGUUGGCGAGGCCCCUGGACAAGGAUAAUAGUCAAACUUACAAAGCGUUUCAUAUUUUC
Molecule: small nuclear RNA, 107 nt
Organism: Mastomys coucha (southern multimammate mouse)
Lineage: Eukaryota; Metazoa; Chordata; Mammalia; Rodentia; Muridae
Source: RefSeq, a predicted model, not a curated record